GGUCAAUGAUGUGAUGAUGUAAAAGGUCUGAUGCCCAGUUCCACUACCUGCUAUCCAUUGGCUCCUAACAGCCCCUGCUCUCCUCCCAGCCUGCUCUAGUUGUGCAUCGUUGGACACAGGGGCUGCUGACAUUGAGGAUGAGGUCAUAUCCUGUGUCUUUAAGAGACCAUGGAGUCACUGUGACAGACGUCCAACAGAACCAAUCACUAAGGAGUAUCAGGCUGUGGUAUGGGGCUGGGCCGCUGAUCUCAACUUUCAAACUGAGACC
This is a non-coding RNA of Hucho hucho (huchen), 268 nucleotides long. Lineage: Eukaryota; Metazoa; Chordata; Actinopteri; Salmoniformes; Salmonidae. The record is from Ensembl.